Long non-coding RNA from Ictalurus punctatus (channel catfish), 2857 nucleotides. RefSeq lists it as uncharacterized. The transcript is spliced from 5 exons. The record is from RefSeq and is a predicted model, not a curated record. NCBI's taxonomy places the organism in Eukaryota, Metazoa, Chordata, Actinopteri, Siluriformes, Ictaluridae.
AUAACUUGCAAGCGUUUGAGAAAACCUUAGUGUUACUUCGCGCCACGUUGCUGUUACCAAGGUCUUAUAUAACCUUGGGCGGUGCACAGGUGUUUGCACUCAGUAUUCCGGCGAACUUGAGCGCGGGUGUAGCUGGGAUAUGUAGUCCGCGCCGGCACGGUGGCUGCGAAUUCGCCGUGGCGUAACAAAUUUAUGCAAAACUACAGUCUGAAAUAAAGAUGUCUUCAAUUAAAAUGCUAAAUUUAGAUAAAAAUUCAAUAUGAUGUUGUAUUAAAGAAAAGCAGAGAUGAGCGCUUACAUUUACUACAUAGCGUUUGUGAAUGAGAGAACUAAGAUGUUCUGUGUCAUAACAGUAUCCUGUCGUAUAGGAUUGACUGAGAAAAAACCCUGUGAUUUUUGAAGAUAGAUUACACGCUAAAGUAAUACAGCUGCUUAGAUCUACUGCUUGUGGGAUGUUAAGAUGAGCAGAAAUGACUCCAGUGACAGAAAUGACUAGGCUACAGAGAAAGCAUGUAAUAAGAAGCAUGGCUUUUCCCAAUAAAACCAACCAAAUUACAUCAAAAUUUAAACAUUCUAAGUUUAAAAACAAGUUAGCUUAGCUUACCUCUUCUCUCGUUCUCUUAAGAGAACAGUGGGACUCGUCUCAGUCAUCUUUUUUUGAGGUAGGCCGAUGAAUUUAGCAACUGACAAAUAAAUGUCUCUCAUGGUCUCCAGUCAGUUUUCAGAAACCUGUGCCACUCUCCCUCUCUAGGAAAUGGUGAGAAACAACACUGCUAGCAUUCACCUCUUUGUAUACUAAUGGGUUUGCUUUGCAGCUAAAUCAACUAUGACAAAAGAAUGAAGUUCUCUGAUUUAAUUUAGUAUUUCAUGGUAUUUGCACAUUAAUAAGAUUAAAAUUGAAUCCAAACAAUUAUCCAGUUAAACAAUCCAAAAUUAGUCAGUGAUGGACUUUAACAUGAAAAUGAUACAAAAAAGCUGGAUUUUACAUGGGAUGGGAGGAGAUUGUCCUUUUUAUAUAAAAUAAUAAUUAGUGGAUUUGCACUAAUGUGUAUGAAAUUAAUUUUCAGUUUUCAGUCAAACCCACCCUUCCACACACUCACCGACUUCCAGUGAAGCCAUGCAUCAAUUAAUUCCUAUGAACAGGGCAUUAAGCAAACUCCAUUCAAAGGAGAAACUGUACUUUAAAAAUUAAAAUAGCAAAAAAAAAGCAUUUUCGGUGUUCGGCCGAAUAAGUGAAAAGGCUGAAUAAAUUUGAACGAACAAUGACGUGUUUGAUGACGCGACCAAAUAGCCUAGCAACCAGAGUGAGCCGCACGAAGCUUUAAUUGCAGUAAACAUGUUGGCAGUGUGGAAGCAUUUUAAAGUGUCAGAGAAAGAUGUAAGAAGGGCCGUUAAAGAAGUACGCAUAUGCCUAGGACAAUUAUUCAUUAGUUGUGGGUCCAUCCACUUUUUUACACUCUUGUCGAUGCACUUUUUUGUUGUAGGCUGCAGAGUGUUCUAAGGCUGCACGAUUAUGGCUAAAAUGAUAAUCCCGAUUAUUUUUAUCAAUAUUGAGAUGUCGAUUAUUUGUUGGUGAUGACCUUUUUUGACCUGGACCUGACACAAUAAAUACGAUUGAUAAUGAUAUUGACCUUUGACCUCUACAUAGAGAGUAAUAAUAUGUAUCUUUUUGACCUUUGACCUAGACCUGUCAAAAAUAAGGUUACAAUAUAUACCAACUAUUCCUCUCUCUAAUGUUUGAUAAUGAGCCCAUAAGCUGGAACUGAUAUGUUAGGAGUAGCAAAAACCUGAAAGUCUACAGGAUGGUUGGCUUCAAAGACUGGAGUUAAAAAAAUAAAUAAAUAAAAAUCCUGGUCUUAAGCACUCAUUGGAAAUGGACACCUUGUUAAAUAGUAAAAUCCGACAGCAGUUAAAUUAUAAAGAUUUGCAUCUCUUCACCAUGGAUAGCAGAUUAGCACCAGAAUCCCAGGAAUAUAGCGAUGUUGAAGAGAAUGACCUCAGCUGUAUGGCUGGGCCCAAUGAUGCUGUACCUCCUGGUAGUGGAAAAGUGGAAAUGAUGCAGAUGUUGACAGUGAGGCGCAGUUAGGGUCAAGUGUGCAAAAAAAGCGAGGACGCCACCACCACUGUACUUCCCCUGUUCCAGAUAGUGAGUCAGAUAAUGAUGACAGAGAAAAGGACAGAAGAACAAAAAAGAAUACAGCUUCCCCAGAAUCCACAUUUAGAGAUCCAAAUAAUGAUCCACCACAAAACAAGAAAAAAAAAAACAUGGAGUGAAGAAGAAAAAGAGGCGGUACUUGAGCAAAUACUUGACUCUCAGUAGGAUACCAGUCAAAAAAGAGUGUGAUUGAUGUCUUGCAUCUGAACCAAACCUAAAAAAAAGAUCAUGGACGGAUGUAAAAAAAUUCAUAUCCAAUUCUAUACAGACUAAGAAAAACAAAGUACUCAGGCAGAGCAAAUAUUAGAACAAUAGAGGUAAAAUUAGCUCUUGUUCUGACAUACUAAAUGUUAAUGUUCUGACAGCAAAAGUGCUAAUGUUAAGAGCUAAAAUGUACUGCUAAAUAUUAAAAUUUUUCUUUUCAUUUUUGAUGCAUAUUCUCAUAGUGGCCUUUUCAGUUUUUAUGCAAUGGAAAGUUGCAGUAAUUUUAAAACUUUGCACCAAAUGUGUUCAUUUGCACUACAGAGAUGGCAUCAUGGCCUUUUAAGUUCCUUUGUUACAGAUAUGCUAAUAUUUUUGCACUAUGAGUUAAAUUAGUGCCAAAGAGUUGGAUCAUGGUCAUAUUGUCUAUUUGCCCUGAAUUUCUUUGCAAGAAAAUGCACAAAUUUUACUCCUGUACUUUUCAGACUAAAAUGGAACUGC